Long non-coding RNA from Oncorhynchus tshawytscha (Chinook salmon), 379 nucleotides. The record is from Ensembl. Lineage: Eukaryota; Metazoa; Chordata; Actinopteri; Salmoniformes; Salmonidae.
AAAGCCAUAACAGGCCCCAAAGCCAUACACAGGCCUUACCCAAAGCCAUAUACAGGCCUUACCCAAAGCCAUAUACAGGCCUUACCCAAAGCCAUAUACAGGCCUUACCCAAAGCCAUAUACAGGCCUUACCCAAAGCCAUAUACAGGCCUUACCCAAAGCCAUAUAUAAGACUUACUCAAAGCCAUAUACACAGGCCUUACCCAAAGCCAUAUACAGGCCUUACCCAAAGCCAUAUACACAGGCCUUACCCAAAGCCCCAUACACAGGCCUUACCCAAAGCCAUACACAUGCCUUACCCAAAGCCAUACACAGGCCUUACCCAAAGCCAUACACAGGCCUUACCCAAAGCCAUACACAGGCCUUACCCAAAGCCAUAC